AUUGAACGCUGGCGGCAUGCUUUACACAUGCAAGUCGAACGGUAACAGGUUAAGCUGACGAGUGGCGAACGGGUGGGUAAUGCAUCGGAACGUGCCCGGUCGUGGGGGAUAACGCAGCGAAAGCUGCGCUAAUACCGCAUACGAUCUAAGGAUGAAAGCGGGGGACCGUAAGGCCUCGCGCGAUCGGAGCGGCCGACGUCAGAUUAGGUAGUUGGUGGGGUAAAGGCUCACCAAGCCAACGAUCUGUAGCUGGUCUGAGAGGACGACCAGCCACACUGGGAUUGAGACACGGCCCAGACUCCUACGGGAGGCAGCAGUGGGGAAUUUUGGACAAUGGGCGAAAGCCUGAUCCAGCAACGCCGCGUGCAGGAAGAAGGCCUUCGGGUUGUAAACUGCUUUUGUACGGAGCGAAAAGGUCUCCUCUAAUACAGGGGGCUCAUGACGGUACCGUAAGAAUAAGCACCGGCUAACUACGUGCCAGCCGCCGCGGUAA
This 493-nucleotide ribosomal RNA is filed under the name uncultured bacterium. RNAcentral describes it as "partial 16S ribosomal RNA". It matches the Rfam family "Bacterial small subunit ribosomal RNA", at positions 29 to 523 of the family's 1533-position model. The record is from RNAcentral.